UGAGCUUGAUCCUGGCUCAGGAUGAACGCCGGCGGCGUGCUUAACACAUGCAAGUCGAACGAUGAUCCCAGCUUGCUGGGGAUUAGUGGCGAACGGGUGAGUAACACGUGAGUAACCUGCCCUUAACUCUGGGAUAAGCCUGGGAAACUGGGUCUAAUACCGGAUAUGACUCCUCAUCGCAUGGUGGGGGGUGGAAAGCUUUAUUGUGGUUUUGGAUGGACUCGCGGCCUAUCAGCUUGUUGGUGAGGUAAUGGCUCACCAAGGCGACGACGGGUAGCCGGCCUGAGAGGGUGACCGGCCACACUGGGACUGAGACACGGCCCAGACUCCUACGGGAGGCAGCAGUGGGGAAUAUUGCACAAUGGGCGAAAGCCUGAUGCAGCGACGCCGCGUGAGGGAUGACGGCCUUUCGGGUUGUAAACCUCUUUCAGUAGGGAAGAAGCGAAAGUGACGGUACCUG
This 460-nucleotide ribosomal RNA is filed under the name Arthrobacter sp. 01WB02.3-16. RNAcentral's name for it is "bacterial SSU rRNA". It matches the Rfam family "Bacterial small subunit ribosomal RNA", at positions 1 to 481 of the family's 1533-position model. The record is from RNAcentral. Lineage: Bacteria; Bacillati; Actinomycetota; Actinomycetes; Micrococcales; Micrococcaceae.